Molecule: long non-coding RNA, 137 nt
Organism: Rhodamnia argentea
Lineage: Eukaryota; Viridiplantae; Streptophyta; Magnoliopsida; Myrtales; Myrtaceae
Exons: 3
Source: RefSeq, a predicted model, not a curated record
GAUUAGUGGUGACUCCAAAUCUUAAAUCAUUUGAAUAAACCAAAGUUGAGAUUUGGUAGGGCUUAGGAGAGUCCGUAUUAUGUUAGUCAUUUAAUUAAUUUGAUAAUCCAUUAACGUAAAAUGAUCAACAUUAUUUU